UCUGCAGUGAUGAGGCUUUAACAUGUAAGAAGGACCAUCUUGAAUGGUUUCUUCAAUGAGAUAUUCUUGUUACGCUUGGCUUCUGAGCACA
Humulus lupulus (European hop) is the source of this 91-nucleotide small nucleolar RNA. RefSeq annotates it as small nucleolar RNA R24. Lineage: Eukaryota; Viridiplantae; Streptophyta; Magnoliopsida; Rosales; Cannabaceae. The record is from RefSeq and is a predicted model, not a curated record. The transcript has a single exon.